AUUGAACGCUGGCGGCCGGCCUAACACAUGCAAGUCGAGCGAGCGGCGGACGGGUGAGUAAUGUCUGGGAAACUGCCUGAUGGAGUGGGAUCACUACUGGAAACGGUAGCUAAUACCGCAUACCAUCCUCUGUGCCCAGAUGGGAUUAGCUAGUAGGUGGGGUAACGGCUCACCUAGGCGACGAUCCCUAGCUGGUCUUAGAGGAUGACCAGCCACACUGGAACUGAGACACGGGCCAGACUGCUACGGGAGGCAGCAGUGGGGAAUAUUGCACAAUGUGCGCAAGCCUGAUGCAGCCAUGCCGCGUGUAUGAAGAAGGCCUUCGGGUUGUAAAGUACUUUCAGCGGGGAGGCGUUACCCGCAGAAGAAGCACCGGCUAACUGCGUGCCAGCAGCCGCGGUAAUAC
Molecule: ribosomal RNA, 406 nt
Filed under: uncultured bacterium
Lineage: Bacteria
Description: partial 16S ribosomal RNA
Rfam family: Bacterial small subunit ribosomal RNA
Source: RNAcentral